GAUUAACGCUGGCGGCGUGCAUAACACAUGCAAGUCGAACGAUGAAACUUAGUCGACUUCUUCGGAAAGACACUAAGCGGAUUAGUGGCGAACGGGUGAGUAACGCGUGAGUAACCUGCCUUACACAAGGGGAUAGCCUUUGGAAACGAAGAAUAAUACCCUAUAAAACCAUAAAAGCACAUUCUAGAAUGGUCAAAGUGAUAGCGGUGUAAGAUGGACUUGCGUCUGAUUAGCUAGUUGGUGAGAUAAAAGCUCACCAAGGCAACGAUCAGUAGCCGGCUGGAGAGAGUGUACGGCCACAUUGGGACUGAGACACGGCCCAAACUCCUACGGGAGGCAGCAGUGGGGAAUUUUGCACAAUGGGGGAAACCCUGAUGCAGCGACGCCGCGUGAUUUAGAAGGCCUUCGGGUUGUAAAAAUCUUUUGUAUAGGAAGAAAAUGACAGUACUAUACGAAUAAGGUCCGGCUAAUUACGUG
RNAcentral lists this ribosomal RNA (477 nucleotides) under uncultured bacterium. RNAcentral describes it as "partial 16S ribosomal RNA". It matches the Rfam family "Bacterial small subunit ribosomal RNA", at positions 28 to 507 of the family's 1533-position model. The record is from RNAcentral.